This 45-nucleotide ribosomal RNA is filed under the name Oxalis acetosella (European wood-sorrel). Its description in RNAcentral is "partial 28S rRNA". Lineage: Eukaryota; Viridiplantae; Streptophyta; Magnoliopsida; Oxalidales; Oxalidaceae. The record is from RNAcentral. RNAcentral also lists the same sequence under 1 other name.
UGCGACCCCAGGUCAGGCGGGACUACCCGCUGAGUUUAAGCAUAU